RNAcentral lists this unclassified non-coding RNA (877 nucleotides) under uncultured Prochlorococcus sp. RNAcentral's name for it is "partial 16S-23S ribosomal RNA intergenic spacer; may also contain 16S ribosomal RNA and 23S ribosomal RNA". The stretch from base 343 to 415 matches the Rfam family "tRNA". Lineage: Bacteria; Bacillati; Cyanobacteriota; Cyanophyceae; Synechococcales; Prochlorococcaceae. The record is from RNAcentral.
AGGUGGGGCUGAUGACUGGGGUGAAGUCGUAACAAGGUAGCCGUACCGGAAGGUGCGGCUGGAUCACCUCCUAACAGGGAGACAACAAUCGAUCAUGAUGCUUAAGUGCUCUAUUCUUAAGCCUUGAUCCUGUCACCUUAGGUCGAUCGGUACCUCAAGUUGAGCCCUAACAAGACAAGCUGAUUCUUUUAGCUUUUCAGUAGGGAUUGAUUUUAGUUCCUAAACUUUGUCUAGGUCACACCCCGCAAGGGUUACUCCUGGGCCAUUAGCUCAGGUGGUUAGGGCGCACCCCUGAUAAGGGUGAGGUCCCUGGUUCAAGUCCAGGAUGGCCCAUUCGGUGUUGGGGGUUUAGCUCAGUUGGUAGAGCGCCUGCUUUGCAAGCAGGAUGUCAGCGGUUCGAGUCCGCUAACCUCCACUGACCGACAUCCUCCAAACAUUUAAAGUUGAGGACCUUUGUGAGAUGUGAUCUUGAUUAUUAGUUUUCCGUUGAAUGAACCUAGCCCCUUUUUAUUCCUAAUUUAAUAAUUAUUAGGCUGAAAGGAUGCUGGGCUCACUGCAAUUUAAUUGCAGAUUUGUUCAGCAGAACCUUGACAACUGCAUAGGUGAGUCUGGAAAGAAAAAGCAUCUCAUGGAUUCAUUGUCUUUUGACUUAAAAACGUUCUUACCUAAGAAGUAACGACUUUUUUAUUCAAUAGAUUAAUGUUUAAAUCUAGAUUGAGAGCCGAGACUCUAUAACGUACUUUUGAUUUCGAAAUGAAUAUCAAGAGUUUGAUUUGUAAUUCAAACCAUUUGAAAAUUUAUUUUCUAGACAGGUGAAUCACUUAGAAAACGUAUUCAACAACGUUAAUCGUUAUAGAGAAAAUUGGUCAAGCUACAA